Long non-coding RNA from Bradysia coprophila, 266 nucleotides. NCBI's taxonomy places the organism in Eukaryota, Metazoa, Arthropoda, Insecta, Diptera, Sciaridae. The record is from RefSeq and is a predicted model, not a curated record.
CAUGCACGUGCAUGAAGAUGGAUAUUGGACCUUGAACUUGGCGCUCUGUUUACACACAAUAUUCAGUGUCAUUUUGUGAGUUGAAGGUAAAAUAUCCAAAAAUUGACGAAAAUGAACAACUCUUACCAGACGAACAAAAGUGAAAUUUUUCGACUGACCCUUAUGAAGAAAAAGUUUGACGACGAGCAAUCUUCCGACUCCGAAUUCUCCGACGGUUUCGAUGGUCGCCUAGACGAAGAAUUCAACCAAAUGAUCAAGAAGAUGAA